AACCUGCGGAAGGAUCAUUACUGAGUGAGGGCCCUCUGGGUCCAACCUCCGCACCCGUGUUUAUUGUACCUUGUUGCUUCGGUGCGCCCGCCUCACGGCCGCCGGGGGGCUUCUGCCCCCGGGUCCGCGCGCACCGGAGACACUAUUGAACUCUGUCUGAAGAUUGCAGUCUGAGCAUAAACUAAAUAAGUUAAAACUUUCAACAACGGAUCUCUUGGUUCCGGCAUCGAUGAAGAACGCAGCGAAAUGCGAUAACUAAUGUGAAUUGCAGAAUUCAGUGAAUCAUCGAGUCUUUGAACGCACAUUGCGCCCCCUGGUAUUCCGGGGGGCAUGCCUGUCCGAGCGUCAUUGCUGCCCUCAAGCACGGCUUGUGUGUUGGGCUCCGUCCCCCCGGGGACGGGUCCGAAAGGCAGCGGCGGCACCGAGUCCGGUCCUCGAGCGUAUGGGGCUUUGUCACCCGCUCUGUAGGCCCGGCCGGCGCCAGCCGACAACCAAUCAUCCUUUUUCAGGU
RNAcentral lists this unclassified non-coding RNA (511 nucleotides) under Penicillium sp. MK1-2020. RNAcentral describes it as "sequence contains 18S rRNA gene, ITS1, 5.8S rRNA gene, ITS2, 28S rRNA gene". The stretch from base 195 to 348 matches the Rfam family "5.8S ribosomal RNA". The record is from RNAcentral. Lineage: Eukaryota; Fungi; Ascomycota; Eurotiomycetes; Eurotiales; Aspergillaceae.